CGCCUUUAAAUGCUAAUGAGAGCCGGUGCCCAACUCCGGAGCCAACUUUCCCCACCCUCUUCCCUCGCCGCCCGCCCGCCCUUCCCUUCCCUCCCCGGCCCCGUGCGCCGCCUAGAAAAACUUGCGCGGGGCCAUUUUUGGGGCAGUAAGAUCCGAGCGAGGAGCCCAAGAGCGAGCGAGCGCGCAGCCCGAGAGCUCGAGCCGCCUCCGCCGCGAGCCCCACCCCGGCCGCCGCCGCCGCCGCCGCCGCGAGCCCCGCGCCGGCCUCCCCGAGAGCGCGCCCGGCCGCCGCGACCACCAGCCGCGCCAACCGCCCACCAACCGCCACCGACGCGCCCGACUGAGAGCCGAGGAGGCGGCAUGAGCGAGGCGGGCGAGGCCACCACCACCACCACCACCAGCGCCGCCGCCACCACCGCCCUCCCGCAGGCUCCGGCGGAGGCGGCCGCCGCGGUCCCCCAAGACCCCGCGCCCAAGAGCCCGGGCGGCGGCGGCGCGCCCCAGGCCGCGGCCACGGCGCCCGCGGUGCUCGCCGCGGGGAACCCGGGCGGGGACGCGACCCCCGCGCCCACGGGCCCCGCGGCCCCCGCCUCUUCGGCCCCCACCGGCAACGAAGACGCGGAGAAGAAAGUUCUCGCCACCAAAGUCCUUGGCACUGUCAAAUGGUUCAACGUCAGAAAUGGAUAUGGGUUUAUAAAUCGAAAUGACACCAAAGAAGAUGUGUUUGUGCAUCAGACUGCCAUCAAGAAGAAUAACCCACGGAAAUACCUGCGCAGUGUAGGAGAUGGAGAAACUGUGGAGUUCGAUGUGGUUGAAGGAGAGAAGGGUGCCGAAGCAGCCAACGUGACUGGCCCAGAUGGAGUUCCUGUAGAAGGGAGCCGUUAUGCUGCUGAUCGGCGCCGUUACAGACGCGGUUACUAUGGCAGACGCCGUGGACCUCCCCGUAAUUACGCUGGGGAGGAGGAGGAGGAAGGGAGCGGCAGCAGUGAAGGAUUUGACCCCCCUGCCACUGACGGGCAGUUCUCUGGGGCCAGGAGUCAGCUGCGCCGCCCCCAGUAUCGCCCUCAGUACCGGCGGCGGUUCCCGCCUUACCACGUGGGACAGACCUUUGACCGUCGCUCACGGGUCUAUCCCCAUCCCAACAGAAUGCAGAAAGGAAGGGGGAGAGAGCUAGAAACAUCAAGGAUUAGAGAAUUGUUGACCGGCUGCCUUCUGCAGCCCGUGCAUGUGCCCUUAACCGGAAUCGAACUCGGAACUCUUCAGUCCAUAGGACACCAAGUAGAAAUUGAGGAACUGUGUCAGAGAGACAGCUAAAUUCAAGGCAUGGUGCUCAGUGGGUCUUUUUUGCUCUAAAGGACAUUAUUGGUGAGACUUGAAUGGGGUCUGAGGAUUAGAUUCUACGUUUGUUAUUAUUUCAAAAUAAAGUAAUUGAAAACUAGGGGUGUUAUUUCAGCAUGUUCAUGGGCUUGGGUGGAAACAAUGGAGCAAAGAGGGAAGAAAAUACACAGUGAAGCGGGGGAUAAGGAGAGGGGUUAGCCAUGGAUAUGAGCUUGGACCACUUAGCCAGUGUAAUGAGAGAAGACGAUUAUUAUAAAUACAGGUAGCUUAGUAGAUUCUGUAGUGAAACGAUAUAGAAAAUAUUUUCUGAUUGCUUCAUGAAAUGGAGAAGAAAGGUGUUAGUUUUGAGGGGGGAGAAGAUGUUUGAGAUUGUGACUAUUUUGUAAUGAAUUUUAGAGAUUGUUGGAAUUUCAGAGGUUGGUCGGUGGGUUUUUAAUUUUUUUUUAUUUUAGUUUUUUGUUCAUUUGUUUUUAGUUUUUAUUCUUCCCCUAGAAGUUCUACAGUAAAGUUAUUUUUUCCCCUACAGAUUACAAUAAAUUUAUCACCAAGAAAGUGUACUUUAUUUUUUUAAAUGUUAUGCUUAAAUAGUGCAAAUAAAUACUAGGAAGAAAUUGUGAAAGGAAAAAAUCAGGUGAAAGCAUGAUUAUAAGGUGUGAGAAAUUUUGAAUUAGAAGCCAUUAGUGAUAUUGAAGGGAUACCCAGUUUGUAGAAUUAGCAGGUCUGAGUUUGAAAAGAUUCUUAUUGCUCAAAAGCAGUUGUUUUUUUUUUAAAAGAGAUGAAUGGAGCACUUUAAAUGUUAAAUUAAUAUUGUGAAAUGAAAUUAGUUGCUCUGGAGUAAGGCAGAAUACUGUUAUAAGUGGGAAUGAGUUUUUCUUUUCUAUCCUUCAUGAAGAUCUAGUCAGAAAAUAGCUUACUGUUACAAUUAGUUGAUAGUUCCCAGCUUUGUAAGGAAGCAUUUUUCUUACUUUUCAAGAAUUCUGAAUACAGCCGUGUGCUCUUUCGAUUUUAAUUUUUUCCAGGUGACCUAAAGAAUUAAUGACCAUUCAAAAAAAAAAACGAAACAAAAAGCAGACAUGACCUUACCAACACCAAAGAAACAGCCAAGCAAUAAAGUGGAAGACUAAUAACCAAGAUGUGGACAUUGGAAUGUUUACGGAUUAUUCUUUACGAAACAAGUACAAAACGAGAAUGUCAGCCAAUGUUUCCAGCAAUUUUUCUGGAAUCCCUGCACAGAAAGCAAGAGAGCAACCUCCCCAGUUUCGGCAACCACUAGGUUUAUAUUUUUUUCCUGGUUUUUACUGUUUUGGUAAUAUGAAUUGAAAGAAGAAAUAUUAAUACCACAUGGGGAGAACCCCAACCAAAGAAAUCUGAAAUAUAUAGUAAAUGCUUUUUUGUUCCCUUUUCUAGUUCAUUUUGGAUGCUGGUGCUAAACUUCCAAGUGUCAUGAUUUAAAAAGAAAUUUUAUGCUCUUCUUAUUUAUUUCUAGAUGAGGGGAGGAUAACAUUUUUGCUUUCUUAUGCGACUCUCUGAAAAUGUGCAGCAUGAAGUUCCUCAAAAAAUAAAAUUUUUAUCCUUGAAAGGA
Pipistrellus kuhlii (Kuhl's pipistrelle) is the source of this 2920-nucleotide RNA transcript. It is a transcript of the gene named Y-box binding protein 3, with no coding region annotated. The transcript has 8 exons. The record is from RefSeq and is a predicted model, not a curated record. NCBI's taxonomy places the organism in Eukaryota, Metazoa, Chordata, Mammalia, Chiroptera, Vespertilionidae.